UUGAUAUGUGGGCGUGUGUGUAACAGUAACCAGACAAGUUUUUAUGAGAAGAGGGAUACAUGUAAAUGUGUUUUCACUGGGUUAAAUUAGUCCAAGUGAUUAUUUCUAUUAUGUAUGUGAAUUAUUUGUUAUAUUCCACCACCUCGGGGUGGAGCCUCCAUUCCCCGGGCCUCGGCCCUUGCCUCGAAAGGGUGUCCGCUCUCCAGUUCAACCAGCCCGGGAUGUAAACUGCUCUCAAUUAGAGAAGUUUUCCCUGGGACCAUAGAAGGAAGUGUUCCAGUGCCAAGAACACGGCCAUCAUCUCCAGGCAGUUUUUGUGCCAAGAAAGAUGUAAACAGAAGAGGCUGAAUAGGACUCAUCCAUCUCCAUGCCUUCUGCUAGCUUCCUGGUUUAUGCGACUUUGCCUGCCGAUGAUGUCAUGACUGUCUAUUGGCCGGAUUUAACAUGAUUCAGAGCGUGAACAACACGGGCGUUCCCAAAGCGUUUUCAACGCAGCUCGAGUUCCUGAAACACUAUUUUCUUCACUACUGUGCCACCAUGGUUAAGUUAAUGUUCAAUGAAUUAAUUUUGAGGGCUAGUGCCUCUGGUUAAAUUCCAAUCAAUAAUGCAUGUGAAUAAAAUAUAUUGGUUAUUAAUAUUUACAUUUUUUCUACAUGUAAUAUAUAAUGUUUCAUACAAUUCCCAUUUCACAUUAUAUUGAUAUUAGCUAAACAGCCCCAGGUUAGUAUUGGGUUAUUGCAACGUAUUGUGGCAUGAAUUCAGCUGUGUGACAUAAGGAAAAAAAGACUAAAUCGAGUUCAUGCUUUAGUCUUUCCGAAACAUUAUAAAAAAGUGUGUUUUCAGAUUACUAAUUGAUGAUGACUACAACUUUUUUGAAAAGCUGAGUGAAUACUCCAGCGUAUUUUGUGCCUGUGUUCUUGUAGCUCAUGCACUGCAGUGUUAUGCCUGCAACAUCCAGGGCCAAAGAUAUGUGGAUGUAGGAUGCUCUAGUCCUGGGGUCAUAACCUGCUCCCGUUUCUACAAAGGCUUCAAACAGCGCUUCUGCAUCCGAACAGAAAGCAUUGCUUUAGGUAUGGUGCUCACAAGUGGGUGUGCUACAUCUCGUCACUGCCACACAGAGGAACUUCCAGGAGUAAAAAUACACUGCUGUGACUCAGAUCUGUGUAACUGCGCUUCCCGGUAUCAUAAGUCGUCUUUGUCUUCAUACACGCUUUCCCUUAUGAUGCCUUCGCUCACCAUAUUGUGGCUACAACACUGACAAGCAGGGAUGUCAAAAAAGAAAAAGGACAGAGGGCAUUAAAAAGUGUGCAAGAUUCAGAGAUUUGACAAGAAUUUUAAUCAAUUAAGGUCCCAAAAUUACUGUUAAACAAAACAAACUGGUAAACAGAAACACUCAGAACUUCAACAUUAUGGAAGACCUGCCAAAUACACUAAAUGGACAGUUUGUGGACACCUGACCAUAAGAUUCAUAUGUUUUUUUGAACAACCCAUUUCCCAUUUAGUCCCCAUUUGCUGUUAUAAAAACCUCCACUCUUCUAGGAAGAUGUUCUACUAGAUCAUUUUGAGUGUUUACAUGAGAGUUAAUAAAGUCAGGUACUGAUUGAAGUAAGGAGGCCUGGGGUUCAGUCAGUGUUCCAACUCAUCCUAAAGGUGUUGAACAGGGUUGAGGUCAGAGCUCUAUGGCAGCCACUGAAGAUCUUCCACUCCAGCCCAUGGAAACCAUAUAUAUACAUGAAGCGUUUUGCACAGGAACAGUGUCAUGGUGGAACAGGUUUGGGUCUCCUAUAGUUUAAGUGAAGGGAAAAUUUCAUGUUGCAAUCAAAGACAUCCUAUUUAAUUGUGUGGUAACAGUUUGGAGAAGAGUCGGAGCUAGAAAAGUCAGAUGUCCAGGACUUUGUUUCAUAUAGUGUAUACAAAUCUCCUAUUAUAUGUUGUACUUUUUUUUUGCACUUGUUUCUUGAGUGUAUCUUUUUAUUGUAAUACAAUUUUGAUAGUGUAUUUUUGUUAUUGUAGUCAAAUGCCACAGAUAUAUAUAUACAUUGUUCUGACAUGCAUGCUGUUUAAUCACAAUCCAAUUACACUGUCUUAGAGGUGUUCAAUACAAUGUCAUCUUACACUAAACUGAACCUGGCAACCUAGCAGUAUGAAAAAUCACAGCUUUUUGCUGCAUUUCAUAAUCAGUGCUUGUAUAUCAUCUUAGAUGCGCUAUAUUUAUAGCAGAAUAACUUAUGCAUCAUUAAUAUAAACAUUACUUUUUGAUAGUAGGAUUUAGGAAUCUUGAUACUUUGAUCAGUCAUA
Silurus meridionalis is the source of this 2298-nucleotide RNA transcript. It is a transcript of the gene named CD59 glycoprotein, with no coding region annotated. The record is from RefSeq and is a predicted model, not a curated record. The transcript has 3 exons. NCBI's taxonomy places the organism in Eukaryota, Metazoa, Chordata, Actinopteri, Siluriformes, Siluridae.